CGUGGGCGUGGAGACUGGACAGCCGGCCAGGCCCCCCGCCCUCCCUCUGAGGACCUGUCCGUUCUGUGCCCUGAGUAGCCUCUGCUGUGCCGAUUGGUGGGGACACUUCCUGGCCCUUCAACGUGGGCUUGCCCGCUGGGAACCCUGGGUGUAAAACUCCCCGGAGCAGACAGGGCUGAAGCUGCAGCCUGAAGCAGAGCCCCUGCUGAACAGCAGACCCACAGCCGGACACAGGCUUACUCUUUUCACUGUGAAACUUGGAAGGUCAUUUGAGCAGCGUUAUGUCAGCAAAAGCCUGCCUGAGACACGGCGCUUUCAUAUUAUUUCAGAAAUCUUUGCAAGAGGUUGUCGAAACAUGGGGGGAUCGGUGUUACCUGGUUUGAGCAAAGACAGGCUGUGAUGCCAGCACACCGGCUGCUCCUGUCUCUGGCCGCAGCGCUCUCUGAGCUGGGUUGCCCGGAGGAAGACCCACGUGGCUGGAAUCUUGCCUCUCAGACGCCGUCCUCCGAGGCACCAGGGCCCUGCACUCCUGCCCCUCACUGAUGCCCGCUCAUCGUCCCUGCCGGCCACGCCCAGCUCCCCGCUCACUCACCUCUCCUCACUUCUGCGUCUUCCUUAGGAGCGCCCAAUGCUGAUGGAGGGUGUGCUUCCAUAAGAAGAUCAUACCACACAGACUUUAUCCCAGUGGAAAUUAAGAGAAAAAAGACAAAGAUAAAUGAAGAAGCAACUAGAAUCCUCAUCGAUGCUCCUGGCCACGUUAAAAUGCACAACUGCUUGGAAAGCUUGGCAGGUCCUGGUAAAACUAACCACACAAUUACCCAUGACUUAGCGGUGAUAGUGCAAGAUAUUUACCUGAAAGAAAUAAGUUUAUUUUGACAAAAGGAUUUGCACAGACAUGUUCACAUGGCUUUGUUUGUAACAACCUCUCACUGGAAGCAGUCCAAGUGUUCAUAAAGAGACAAGUGGAUAAUCAGAUUGUGCACAUUCAUACAAUGGGAUAAAAGAGCAGUGAAAAAGGGACAACCUACUUAUACAAGUGAUGACAUGGCUGAGACUGACAGCCAUCAUGAAGAAAGGGAGGAGUUGGAGGCAAAGGGCAGAGACUAAUGAAGCCACUGCGUGAAGUUCUUGCGCAGGAAACACUAAUCUGUGGUGACAACAAUCAGAAAAGUUUGCUCUGUGGUGACUGUGAGGUGUAUGAGGGGACUUUGGAGGUGGUGGGAUGUUCAGCAUUUUUAUGGUUACAUGGGUGCACGCACCUGUCAGACCCCAUCAAAUUGUACACCGAAGGUUUGUGCACUUCACUGUAUGUAAAUUGUAGGUAAAAACAAAGGAAACCCGAGGAAACCUACAAACAUCGAGCUCUGGUUACAGGCUUGCUUUUAUCACUUUUAUGGGUUAACACACCCAAAACUGCUUUCCGGGUGUCCCCGGGCUCAGCAAAUGAGCGCCUGUUCUGGGAAAGUGGGAGCCCGUGCUUCUCACAGUAGGAGAAAGGAGCUCCAUGUAUUGAAGAGGAAGGAUUAGGCUCUGCUCCGUGGUUUUGGAUUGUAAUGUGAGGUAUAUUCAGUAAACUCAUAAUUUUAUUUUUACAGGUAGAGAAGUAUCAACAUACGUUGUGCAGCUGUCUGUAUCUGUCUCUGAAUCUAUUUCUUCCCUAGGUCUUGGUUUCUAAUCAUCUCUCUUUCCAGGAGGAAACAAAACACCCAGGAACUGACUGAUCUGGGUUGGGGCCAGGAAAGCCCAGAGAAUUUUGUUUUCCAGAAAUUUCCUCCAAAUCACUAGACUCGUCCAGACUUCUGUUCCUGGCAAAGUGAAGUGCCAAGAUGCCAGUCUGCUGGGCUGGCCCCAGAGGUUGGCUGGUUCCUUGCACCUCUGCCUCUGAGGACCACUCUGGACUCCAUCCCAGGACUGGGACCCCACCACACUACUCACCAGAAGAAAGAGACCAUCAGGCCAGAUAAAAAGCAAGAUUCAACUCUAUGAUGCCUGUAAUAAACAUUCUUUUAAUAUAAAGACACUAAGUUAAAAAAAUGCAUGAGUAAAAAGAGAGAGAAUAAGAUGGCAGAGGAGAAGGUGACGUGGAGUACAUCUCUCUCCACGGAUACAUCAGGAAUACAGCUUCAGACACAGAAGUGCAUGCAGAAUACCAGCUGAGAGCCGACAGGAGGACCUGACCACGGAGAAGAACAUAUAGACCACGCAAAACUCGGUGGGACGAAGGAACCGGGGGAGAAACAGGAGUGUUGGUAGGAUUGGACCUGCCCUUGGUGGGUGAGGGAACUGAAGCAGGGAUCUGACCCCGCAUCAGGGCAGUGUCUGAGUCAGAGGAGAAACCUGAGAGUGAAACAGCUGAUCUGUGGCAGCCUGAAUGGCAUGAGAAGCAGACAGUCCUUGCAGCAGCCACACAUAGGUGGGGCAGGAAUGUGGGUCUCCUGGAAGGCCCAGCGCCUGGGAGCUGGAGUUGAGAGAUUGUGGAACAACCCCAGGGCGAGGGCUGCCAUUGACUGUGGAGAGACGGAUGGAGGGGAUGUGAGGGAGGAGAUGGUGGUGGGAAAUGCCUGUGGAGGAAAGCCAGGCAGCCAUGGAAGCAAGGUGAUACUGCUGAGUCAAGCGUAGGGGGUGGAGUCAUCACCAUAGCCUCUCUCUCCCCACAGGCCAGCAUCGCUGAACAAUAGAGAGGCUGCCCCGCCAAACGCCUGACACACUGAACUACAGAGAAGGACCCCAGUCAGGGGGCCCCUCUACGUGCUUGAGCACCAAACAACAGAGAAGGAUGCUCCUUCUCCAGAAGGAACCAUCCACCCAGGAUGCUCCUUUAAGUGCCUGAUGUGCCAAUCUAUAGAGUAGGACCCCAGUCAGGGGGUAGGACCCCAUUCGGUGGAGGGGCGGGGGGGGGGUGCUCUAUGUGCCUGAUGCGCAGAUCUACAGAGCAGGAUCCCACCCAGGGUGCCUCUCUAAGUGCCUGACGCACCAAACUACAUAGUAGGACCCCCCAGGUGCUCCUUUAAGUGACUGAUGUGCCAAUCUACAGAGUAGGACCCCAGUCAGGGUGCCCCUCUAUGUGCCUGAUGCGCUGGUCUACAGAGAAGGGCCCCAGUCGAGGGAUCUUUCUAAGUGCCUGAACGGGCAGAGCUGCAGAGAAAGACUGGCCAAAGAGGCCUUCUGAUCACCAGCUACAAGAGGCUGGAGAAAAGACCAUGAGAGGGCUAUAGACUGCGGCGGAGGCAGUCUGUGUUCCUGCACACUUGGCGCUGCCAGGGUCCCUGCGAGCCAAGCGGCUACACCACCUUCAUGCUCAACCCUCACUGGGGCAGAGCUGCCACAGGC
Molecule: long non-coding RNA, 3330 nt
Filed under: Bos indicus x Bos taurus (hybrid cattle)
Lineage: Eukaryota; Metazoa; Chordata; Mammalia; Artiodactyla; Bovidae
Description: lncRNA (ENSBIXG00000016830.1)
Source: RNAcentral